RNAcentral lists this unclassified non-coding RNA (19 nucleotides) under Mus musculus (house mouse). RNAcentral describes it as "oocyte_clustered_small_RNA3431". The record is from RNAcentral. Lineage: Eukaryota; Metazoa; Chordata; Mammalia; Rodentia; Muridae.
UGGCAAUUCCCGAAGGAUC